Molecule: non-coding RNA, 2812 nt
Organism: Heterocephalus glaber (naked mole-rat)
Lineage: Eukaryota; Metazoa; Chordata; Mammalia; Rodentia; Bathyergidae
Source: RefSeq, a predicted model, not a curated record
UCCUCGUGGACAACCUGCUGAGUGUGUCGGCCUGCACUGUGCGGUGAGCUGAGUGCUCCACCUGGUCACCGUCACCCUGAGCUCUUGCUCAGCGUCUCCCGGGGUCACCUCGCCUCGUCGUCCUUGCCUCCGUCUGCGGUGUGCUCUUUCACGAGCGCCCUGUUUUACAGGUUCCCUCUUGUGCUAUAGAACCAUGGAAGCCCCUCCUCCUCUCCUGGGCCGCACUGACUCUGCCUAAUGACCGACCAAACAGCUGUGGAGAGACCUCUGAGCACAUGUGGCCGACACAGCAGCAGCCCGCAAAUAUCAUCAUCGAGGUGUUGCCGGAAGCUGAGUCAGGAAGCACCGGUGAGCCGAAGUCCGUAUUUUUGGUGCCCUCUAAAAUAUUUAGGGUUUGCUGUGAUGCUCAGAUUCCGCCUCGGUUACAACUGGCUUCUCUCUGUCCCCCGCUCUCACAUGUAAGAGGUGUUACUUUCAUUUCUUUGUAAAAAGAAACCAAACUACCUGCCAACUGUUAGCAUCCUCAUUUGGGACCGACCAUGUGUCCUGCUCGAAGUCCGAGAGACAAGCUACCAGGCACAGUGUGUGUUACAGCAUGGAGGAACAGGACGAAGGAGGAGCACCGGAGGGUCAUGGAGGGUGCAGUCUUCGGAUUCGAUUCACUCUUCCAUCGUUGUGAGUGGCAUGGCUUGAUGCACCUUAGUUAGCUUUAUUUGGACUCAAUUUUCUAAUCUGUAAAACCACAACAGUGAUGUCAGAUCAUGUGUCUGAAACGCAGUCACCACUCUGCUAUUUUUCCAGUUCCUUCAUCUUUAUUCAAAGCUGUCCAUGGCGCCUUCUUACGGUCUCUGGACGCUCAGCCCCCCACAAGCAGUACCAGUCCAGUAGGUUGGCGUCCCCCGACCUUGGUUUCCCUGGGCUGGUGGAGGAGAGGUCACGCAACAGGCAGCAGGAGGCUUUCCUGCCUCCCAGAACAGCUGGGCGCUGCCACUGCAGUGGCUCCUGUCCCACUCCUGUGCACAGCCAGCCGUCUAGUUCUCGGCUUCCCUCUGGGUCAGAACCACAGGCAUCCGAAUUCCUAAGCCCUGACUCUAGGACCACCCAGGGGCCUCUGAAGGCUGAGGAGCUCAAGGAGACUUAGGAUAGUCUCUGUGUUGUUCACGGCUUUGAACAGUGUGAGGAAGACAGGAAGCACUGGAAAUAUUGGACACAGAGUGGAUGGUAGGUACCAGCAGGUCCUGUCCCGUCCCAUCCAGGCCCAGUUGGGCCAGGUUCUCUGCUGCUGCCUGCCCUGGCCCUCCCGGUGAGGCCCUUCCCAUUGCAGUCCCGAGGUCAGCCCUGCUACAUCCACCACACCCCUGCCCUCCAGUAGGUGUCUGGAAUCUGGCCUGUGGCCUGGGGGACAGGACGGGGGCACAGGAUGCUGCAGACCCUGAGCCACAGGCCCUCUGUGAGCCAGAGCUCUGACUGAGACCUCCAUCCCCAGGAGGAGAAGCCCUGGGUGAGAGGGCUGCCGAGGACCAUGCUGGAAGCUUCGGGAGCCAGGGGAAUGCUUCAAAGUCAAGGUGGUGCAGGCGGGUGGGGCCUCUGGGAUCUGCAGGCCUGGCACAGGGCUGCUGGGUGGGUACAGAUGGAAAGGCAGCUGCCGAAGGGAAGAGAGCUUUUCCGGUCUCCCUCUUCACCCAGCCCACCCUGCCCCAUCGCAGGGGCGACACUAGGCCUGCCUUUCGGUGGUGGCCUCUCCAGCCCCCACGGGUCUCUGCUUAGAGGGAGGACCGAGAGGCCAUGUUCUGGCUGUGUGGCCUUGAACAGGUUACUUUGCACGCACCUCUCCUCCUUUAGCAAGGGCCGGUAGUGACCACCAGCUGGCAGGAUCUCCUGUAGGAAGCACUGUUUCUAGCGCAGAGUAGAUGCUCUGCCUGAGGAUGCCUUCCGCCCACUCCCGCCCCACCCCAGCCCUCUCUGGGGAGGCUUUCUUUGUGAUGAGCAAGCUGGCAGCACCCAGCUUCCAUCUGCCCCUUCCUGGGACUCAACCCCAAGGGUCCCGGGUGCCUGUGUCACCUGCUGCCAGGUGUCCGGCAGGCUGAGCUCCUGCACUCGCUGGCCUGGCACCGCUCCUGGCUCAGAUGUGGGUGCAGUUUCUGUCGAGAGAGCUGCAUGGCCACCAUGCCCCAUGAAUUACCCACUGUACCGACAGCUGAUACUCCGAGAUGCAGAGGCCGCCCGGGGCCACCUGGCGACAGAGAGGUGGCCCACAGACCCCGUCAGCCUGGCCUUCACCAAUGUGGACACCCGCUCCACACACUCAGGUGGCUCCAGAGGGUGCAGAAUUGUGCACUUCUCCCGGAUCCCCAGAAGGGGCGCCCCCCUUUGGUGUGAGGGGAGCGGAGGUCGGAGCUGGCCGGAGGGGUCUCCCAAACACACCCUUGCAGCUCCUUCGAGAACACCGCAGGCUGGGGCCGCCGCUGAGGGUGGUGGGGAGCGAAGGGCAGCAGAUGUCCUCCGCUGCUACCUGCAAGGCCUUGGUCUGCGCCUCCACCCUGGGGCCUCCCUGCCCAGCGCCCACCCCUUCUCCAGGCUGGAUUAUACCCAACUUUCUGCUUCCUACAGACCCACACACACGCAUAAACAUCAGGGACAUUACUUUUUCUUGCUUCAGUAGAGAUAUAUAAUUAGAGUAUUUUGGAAAAUCUAAAUAAACAAAAAUAACCAAAUUAAUAUCAGUCAUCACUCCAACUGAAUACAGACAGCCCACAUUCUGACGUGCAAUCGUCUACGUGAUAUUUUACAUGCUGCUUUCCAACAUUUUCUU